Mycena rebaudengoi is the source of this 91-nucleotide non-coding RNA. NCBI's taxonomy places the organism in Eukaryota, Fungi, Basidiomycota, Agaricomycetes, Agaricales, Mycenaceae. The record is from the annotation of a GenBank genome assembly.
GGCUCGGUAGCGGAGCGUCCGCGUCUGCUUCAAAUAAAACAUUCCCGCUCGACUGAUGCAGAUCCCGCCUGUUCAACUCAGGCCCGAGCUA